Long non-coding RNA from Hermetia illucens (black soldier fly), 541 nucleotides. RefSeq lists it as uncharacterized. Lineage: Eukaryota; Metazoa; Arthropoda; Insecta; Diptera; Stratiomyidae. The transcript has 2 exons. The record is from RefSeq and is a predicted model, not a curated record.
UUAAAAUUCAUAAACGAUUUAAAUUUUUUUUGAUGCUUCAGUUGCAAUUUAAGUGAGUAACCCACAAUUGGUGACCCCUUACAGGAAGCAGCAACAAAUUCAAAACGGUAUCGACAAAACAAUCGCCGCUGUCUACCAACGACACCAUGAUUACAGGGACGCAAACUAUAACUCCCUGCCAGAUUCUCGUCAAGCUUUCAAGGCAGAUUUAGGAUCAAGGGAUUCAGACGGAGCCAUUGGAAAUUAAGCAGCAGCCGAAGAGAAAAUGCGGACCAAAAGCAUCGAGAUAGAUAAUUAUCCUAACUGAGCCCGCAGAAAGAAUCUGUUUAUGCUCAGGAAUGUUUCACAGUUUGUUCUAUUUCGCAGCAUCAGCAUCAAUUCCCAUUAUCAUCAGCUUUUAUUUGAUUUCUUUAAACACCGAGAUUGUGCUUCUUGGUGUGUUGUACUUGUUUACUUACUUUGUAUCUUUAGUUUAAGCUGAACUUUCUUGGCUUCAAAAAAUUGGAAUCAUUUCAACUAAAAUAAAGGCGAUGUCGAUGUC